UUUAGGAUAGCUAAGUCAGUAGAGCAUGAGACUCUUAAUGUCAUUGCCGUGGGUUCAAGCCCCACAUUGGGCAAAA
This is a non-coding RNA of Podarcis lilfordi (Lilford's wall lizard), 76 nucleotides long. The record is from the annotation of a GenBank genome assembly. NCBI's taxonomy places the organism in Eukaryota, Metazoa, Chordata, Lepidosauria, Squamata, Lacertidae.